UACAGAGGGGGCAAGCGUUGUCCGGAUUUACUGGGCGUAAAGCGCGCGCAGGCGGUCUUCCAAGUCAGUGGUGAAAGCCCGGAGCUCAACUCCGGAACUGCCAUUGAAACUGUAAGACUUGAGGAUGAGAGAGGUGAGUGGAAUUCCCAGUGUAGAGGUGAAAUUCGUAGAUAUUGGGAAGAACACCGGUGGCGAAGGCGGCUCACUGGCUCAUAUCUGACGCUCAGGCGCGACAGCGUGGGGAUCAAACAGG
RNAcentral lists this ribosomal RNA (253 nucleotides) under uncultured bacterium. RNAcentral's name for it is "partial 16S ribosomal RNA". It matches the Rfam family "Bacterial small subunit ribosomal RNA", at positions 524 to 776 of the family's 1533-position model. The record is from RNAcentral.